CCUACGGGUGGCAGCAGUGAGGAAUAUUGGUCAAUGGACGAGAGUCUGAACCAGCCAAGUGGCGUGAAGGAUGACUGCCCUAUGGGUUGUAAACUUCUUUUAUAUGGGAAUAAAAUGUUCCACGUGUGGGAUUUUGUAUGUACUAUAUGAAUAAGGAUCGGCUAACUCCGUGCCAGCAGCCGCGGUAAUACGGAGGAUCCGAGCGUUAUCCGGAUUUAUUGGGUUUAAAGGGAGCGUAGGUGGGUUGUUAAGUCAGUUGUGAAAGUUUGCGGCUCAACCGUAAAAUUGCAGUUGAUACUGGCAGUCUUGAGUACAGUAGAGGUAGGCGGAAUUCGUGGUGUAGCGGUGAAAUGCUUAGAUAUCACGAAGAACUCCGAUUGCGAAGGCAGUUCACUAGACUGCAACUGACACUGAGGCUCGAAAGUGUGGGUAUCAAACAGGAUUAGAUACCCGGGUAGUC
Molecule: ribosomal RNA, 460 nt
Filed under: uncultured bacterium
Lineage: Bacteria
Description: partial 16S ribosomal RNA
Rfam family: Bacterial small subunit ribosomal RNA
Source: RNAcentral